GCCCCAAUGGCACAGUGGUUAGUGCGUUUGCUCUACAUGUCUAAGUUGUCCACCAUGUUUAAGCAAGGGGCCCGUGUUCGAGUCACGGUUGGGUCA
Non-coding RNA from Mycena alexandri, 96 nucleotides. NCBI's taxonomy places the organism in Eukaryota, Fungi, Basidiomycota, Agaricomycetes, Agaricales, Mycenaceae. The record is from the annotation of a GenBank genome assembly.